UAUUGCACAAUGGGGGGAACCCUGAUGCAGCGACGCCGCGUGGGUGAAGGAGUAUUUCGGUAUGUAAAGCCCUAUCAGCAGGGAAGAACAAUGACGGUACCUGACUAAGAAGCACAGGCUAAAUACGUGCCAGCAGCCGCGGUAAUACGUAAGGUGCAAGCGUUAUCCGGAUUUACUGGGUGUAAAGGGAACGCCGGCGGCGCGUUAAGCCGGGGGUGAAAGCCCGCGGCCCAACCGCGGGACUGCAUUGGGAACUGGCGCGCUGGAGUGCCGGAGGGGUAGGCGGAAUUCCUAGUGUAGCGGUGAAAUGCGUAGAUAUUAGGAGGAACACCAGUGGCGAAGGCGGCCUACUGGACGGUGACUGACGCUGAGGCUCGAAAGCGUGGGGAGCAAACAGG
Molecule: ribosomal RNA, 398 nt
Filed under: uncultured bacterium
Lineage: Bacteria
Description: bacterial SSU rRNA
Rfam family: Bacterial small subunit ribosomal RNA
Source: RNAcentral